UCCUGAAGUCUAUGCAGAGACCAAAGGGAUCAUCCCUCUGCUGAGUAAAGAGUUAAGAUGUUCAAAGACAAAGGGCUUCAAGGUGAUGUUGAUUCUGCAUGAAGGUAAAGGGCUUCAGCAUGUGGUCACUGUUGGUAUGAGAGGAGGAGAAGGCUACCAGCAUGGUGGAAAAAGACACUACAAAUAAGAGGACGACCCGCAGGACAAAAGACCUUGAACUGAAACGUGAAGAUUCAAACCUAGAACACUUGAAUAUAAGCUAUGUAGAACAAGGAGCCUGUCCAAAGAAAGGAUUCCUGAUGGGACAUUUCCUGUUCACAUUGCUGUCUUUCUCAUGAGAAUCCACUCUGAAAUCCUGUGCCUCCUUGUGGACUCUGCCAGAUGGUGGCAUCCAACUGGACCCUGACUGAGCAAAGAGCCAAUGAUGUGAGACAGUACUGGUGCUGCUGGAGCGCAAGACAUAAUCCACAGCUAGCACUCAUGGUACAAGAACCACAGCAAGAAUAAAAAUACUUGCAUGGUUGCUUGUGGCUACGCCAAAUGAAAAUAAUGCAAUUGAUCUCAAGAAUGCAAAGACACUUCAAGAGCUUGAUUCUGUUUUGGCUAAUGCAUGUUAAAUUAUACAUGUGGGGUCUGUACCUAUGAAAAGAUUUCCUGAGAAGUGUUAAGCAUAUCUGAUGUUUAUAGAGAAAGCUUGGGAUAACUGAAAGAUAUUUAGUACUCUCUACAGUUGCACUUGGAAUAGCUGUUCUGCCAAGGGUGCUCUUGGCCUAAACUUCUACUCCCAUCCAUCUUGAGUGAAGAACCUUGUAUGAGAGGGUGGAUAUUGUUAAAGUUUUUAAACACAAAAAGAUCCUCCAAAAUUAAAGAAAGAUGGAUUUCCCUACUCAAUAGGAGUCAAUUACCAGCUAGUUCUAGAGAAAUAACCUAUAAACUAUUGAAGGGACAAAAAUACCUCCUUUUUCCCCCAAGCAAAAUGACCAGUUUUUGGAAGUACCUUUUAUUCCUGACAAGUUGGCAGAAGCUUUACAGGGAAUUGAUAAGAGAAUGGCAGUACUGUCCUUUAGAUUAAGGAAUUUGGUACUCUUGUCCAGUUAUGGUAAUGCCUGACUGGCUGAGUGCAGCCACUGAAGCCUCUUAGUGCCACAUGAAUAAAUUCAAAGCGAGCCCUGUCCUGGUAGGGAGCACAAGGCUGUGUUCUUUCAGAAAAAGCUCUAGAGACAAUCUCAGAGUGUUUCUUGUGAAAUUAAAUGUAUGCAUGAAUUCCUGCUACUGUUAAAGUGAUACCCAUUUCCCUACAUUUCACAAAAGAUUUUAUGUAUUACUAAUCUUAGUUGAUCCCAUUAUUAGAUAAUAAAUGCAGAUGGUGGAAAAUUGCCAGAGGCUGGAGUUUCACAAGCAUCAUCACAUGCUGGGAUUUCUGGUUUUGUCCCUAAAGACACUGUCCAGAAAGCUGUUGCCUUUGCAGGAGCAGAGACUUGGCCAUGUACUUUUACAACAGCAGGUGUGCAUUUGGGGGGUUUUAAGACCUCUAGUGGUCUGUUUGGAAGAAAUUAGUAACAGCUAAAGAAUACAAAAUUUCCUCAGAAUACAAAAAUCAAAAUACUCAAAGGCAAUGUAGAACAUAAAUUCUUACAAUUUUCUGCAUUUCUGAGGUGAUUUGAUAUACUCAUUACACAAUGGCAGCAACAUAGGCAAGCAGGUUAAAAUAUGUUUAAAAGCUCCCUAUUACAUCUCAAAGAACCACCACAGGAAAACUAACAGUUUGUCUGAAAAUGGAUAGAGGUAACUCAGAACAAAUUUUUCUUAUUCCAGAAUCACUCUCCUGCCACUUGGUCAGGACAGUUGUUCAGCAAUAGCUGCAGAACAGCUGUACUAAGAUAAUACCCCAGAGGUAAACCUGCCACUGGACAGAUGACUAUUUUUUUUCUAUUUCCAUAUUGUUGGCUAAAACCAGGGGGAAUAUAAUUCAGUUACUCAUCAUAUCUGAAUAUCGUACAGUUACUCAUCAUAUCUGUGAGUCUCCCAUCACAAUCCAGAUCUCAAAAUGCAAGAGAAGAUGCCUGUAGGUUGUGAGAGGUGAGAGCCAGCGUUACUAAAGAGAAGUCCUUGUGACUGUACUUCACAGUGACAAAAUUCACACUUAUGCUCCCAUAUUCAAGUACUUUCAGUUCCAAAUACUACUCAGGAAAUGUGGUUUAAUUUGUGCUUGUUGUUUCUUUCCUAAUGACCAAUUGUUACUUUUUCACCUGAAAUCACUGUUUAUAUCAUUCACUAGUUUAUCACCAAGAACACCUGUGUGGGAUCUGAAGGUGAUAAGGAAAUUUUCAAUACAUCAGUGUUUCCUAUUAGCAAGGUGUAAGCAUGUAUAGAAGUCACUAUCUGUCUCCUAUUUAAGUAAGAUAAGGUAAUUAUAAAAUGGGGUGUGUUCUACCUAUAGUCAAUAUGUAAAAUCCCACCUGAAAAGAUAAAUACUUGGAAACUGUAAAUUAAAUGUAAAAACAAUGUCCCAAAAGUGUUUACUAAGGGAUUAUAUCAUGCAUUUGUGUUCCAGAGCAAAUCUUGUUUCAUUUUCUUUUUUUCUAUAACCAUUAUUAAUGGCCAUACCACAGUGAGGUAUUCACUUAACGUCGCACUUCUUAGGGAUUGUGUUUGGGCAACUUCUGGAUUUUAUAUUGGAUUAGUGCUUGCAAGGUUGUAUGGUUGCAUACAAAUGUAGGGAGAAUCCAAAAUAUAAUAAAGUGGU
Long non-coding RNA from Melopsittacus undulatus (budgerigar), 2746 nucleotides. RefSeq lists it as uncharacterized. The record is from RefSeq and is a predicted model, not a curated record. The transcript is spliced from 3 exons. Lineage: Eukaryota; Metazoa; Chordata; Aves; Psittaciformes; Psittaculidae.